UUAACUCAUAUUUGUAUGGAGUUCGAACGUUUGUCUGCGUUUGCCGCUAGGGGCGCUGUUCCAACUGCAUACAAACUUGAGUGA
This 84-nucleotide microRNA precursor is filed under the name Bombyx mori (domestic silkworm). RNAcentral describes it as "mir-2807 microRNA precursor family". It matches the Rfam family "mir-2807 microRNA precursor family". The record is from Rfam by way of RNAcentral. Lineage: Eukaryota; Metazoa; Arthropoda; Insecta; Lepidoptera; Bombycidae.